GACGAACGCUGGCGGCGUGCUUAACACAUGCAAGUCGAACGGAAAGGCCCUGCUUUUGUGGGGUGCUCGAGUGGCGAACGGGUGAGUAACACGUGAGUAACCUGCCCUUGACUUUGGGAUAACUUCAGGAAACUGGGGCUAAUACCGGAUAGGAGCUCCUGCUGCAUGGUGGGGGCUGGAAAGUUUCGGCGGUUGGGGAUGGACUCGCGGCUUAUCAGCUUGUUGGUGGGGUAGUGGCUUACCAAGGCUUUGACGGGUAGCCGGCCUGAGAGGGUGACCGGCCACAUUGGGACGGAGAUACGGCCCAGACUCCUACGGGAGGCAGCAGUGGGGAAUAUUGCACAAUGGGCGGAAGCCUGAUGCAGCAACGCCGCGUGCGGGAUGACGGCCUUCGGGUUGUAAACCGCUUUCGCCUGUGACGAAGCGUGAGUGACGGUAAUGGGUAAAGAAGCACCGGCUAACUACGUG
This 468-nucleotide ribosomal RNA is filed under the name uncultured bacterium. RNAcentral's name for it is "partial 16S ribosomal RNA". It matches the Rfam family "Bacterial small subunit ribosomal RNA", at positions 28 to 507 of the family's 1533-position model. The record is from RNAcentral.